AAAUAAGUGUUUUAUGGCACUUUUUAAAUCCAUAUCCACCUUGUGUGCAAUGUCAGUCGAUCUUCUUCAUGGAGAUCGACCAAACAUCAACCUUUAUCUUUUAACUCUUUGUCUGAAAAAUAUUAUGAAUAAACAAUUCAAAAUA
RNAcentral lists this unclassified non-coding RNA (145 nucleotides) under soil metagenome. Its description in RNAcentral is "partial internal transcribed spacer 1". The record is from RNAcentral.